This 387-nucleotide unclassified non-coding RNA is filed under the name soil metagenome. RNAcentral's name for it is "partial contains 5.8S ribosomal RNA, internal transcribed spacer 2, and large subunit ribosomal RNA". The stretch from base 1 to 120 matches the Rfam family "5.8S ribosomal RNA", at positions 35 to 154 of the family's 154-position model. The record is from RNAcentral.
GAUGAAGAACGUAGCGAAAUGCGAUAAGUAAUGUGAAUUGCAGAAUUCAGUGAAUCAUCGAUUCUUUGAACGCACCUUGCACCCUUUGGCAUUCCGAAGGGUAUGCUCGUUUGAGUGUCAUUGUACUCUCACACUCUCCGAUCCUAUGGAUUCGGGGAGCGGUGGACUUGGGUGUUGCUGCCUUUCCUUGUGGCUCACCUCAAAUGUGUCAGUGCACCUCUUGGUUGGACAUAGUACGGCGUGAUAAGUGUCUUCGCCGGCACCUCGCAAGAGGGUGGCCGAUCGGGAGCUCUGUGCUUUCAAACCGUCUUCGGACAAUUUCUGACAACUUGACCUCAAAUCGAGUAGGACUACCCGCUGAACUUAAGCAUAUCAAUAAGCGGAGGA